This 254-nucleotide ribosomal RNA is filed under the name uncultured bacterium. Its description in RNAcentral is "partial 16S ribosomal RNA". It matches the Rfam family "Bacterial small subunit ribosomal RNA", at positions 524 to 776 of the family's 1533-position model. The record is from RNAcentral.
CACGUAGGCACCAAGCGUUGUCCGGAUUUAUUGGGCGUAAAGAGCUCGUAGGCGGUUCGGUAAGUCGGGUGUGAAAACUCUGGGCUCAACCCAGAGCCGCCACCCGAUACUGCUGUGACUUGAGUUCGGUAGGGGAGCGGGGAAUUCCUGGUGUAGCGGUGAAAUGCGUAGAUAUCAGGAGGAACACCUGUGGUGUAGACGGCUUUCUGGACCAUAGCUGACGCUGAGACACGAAAGCGUGGGUAGCAAACAGG